ACGGGUAUGGCGAAACUGGUAAACGCAACAGGUUUAAAUUCUGUCGGUAUGUCCUUGCGAGUUCGAUCCUCGCUACCCGUACCA
RNAcentral lists this transfer RNA (84 nucleotides) under Marisediminitalea aggregata. It matches the Rfam family "tRNA". Rfam says of the family: Transfer RNA (tRNA) molecules are approximately 80 nucleotides in length. Their secondary structure includes four short double-helical elements and three loops (D, anti-codon, and T loops). The record is from RNAcentral. Lineage: Bacteria; Pseudomonadati; Pseudomonadota; Gammaproteobacteria; Alteromonadales; Alteromonadaceae. RNAcentral also lists the same sequence under 1 other name.